Molecule: ribosomal RNA, 451 nt
Filed under: Acanthochromis polyacanthus (spiny chromis)
Lineage: Eukaryota; Metazoa; Chordata; Actinopteri; Pomacentridae
Description: partial 16S small subunit ribosomal RNA
Rfam family: Bacterial large subunit ribosomal RNA
Source: RNAcentral
UUUAACCGCGCGAAGGUAGCGCAAUCACUUGUCUUUUAAAUGGAGACCUGUAUGAAUGGCACGACGAGGACUUAACUGUCUCCUUUUUCCAGUCAAUGAAAUUGAUCUUCCCGUGCAGAAGCGGGAAUGACACCAUAAGACGAGAAGACCCUGUGGAGCUUUAGACACUAAAUCAGCCCUUGUCCAAAACCCCUAUCAAGGGGCCGAACGCUAGAGGAAGUCUGAUCCAAUGUCUUUGGUUGGGGCGACCUCGGGGAAAUAAAAAACCCCCGCGCGGAACAGGAGUACUACUCCCAAAACUGAGAGCCACCACUCAAAGUAUCAGAAAUUUUGACCAACUAGAUGAUCCGGCCUAACGCCGAUCAACGGACCAAGUUACCCCAGGGAUAACAGCGCAAUCCCCUUUUAGAGCCCAUAUCGACAAGGGGGUUUACGACCUCGAUGUUGGAUC